UACGAAGGGAGCUAGCGUUGUUCGGAAUCACUGGGCGUAAAGCGCACGUAGGCGGAUGUGUCAGUCAGGGGUGAAAUCCCGGAGCUCAACUUCGGAACUGCCUUUGAUACAGCACAUCUGGAGUCCGGAAGAGGUGGGUGGAAUUCCUAGUGUAGAGGUGAAAUUCGUAGAUAUUAGGAAGAACACCGGUGGCGAAGGCGGCCCACUGGUCCGGUACUGACGCUGAGGUGCGAAAGCGUGGGGAGCAAACAGGG
Molecule: ribosomal RNA, 254 nt
Filed under: uncultured bacterium
Lineage: Bacteria
Description: partial 16S ribosomal RNA
Rfam family: Bacterial small subunit ribosomal RNA
Source: RNAcentral